This is a long non-coding RNA of Chlorocebus sabaeus (green monkey), 3947 nucleotides long. RefSeq lists it as uncharacterized. Lineage: Eukaryota; Metazoa; Chordata; Mammalia; Primates; Cercopithecidae. The record is from RefSeq and is a predicted model, not a curated record.
UUUGUCUUCUCUGAUGAUUUUUUAAAAAAUGUAGAUCCAGCUUUCUGACAUCUGUCAUUUUUCUUCUGACUGAAGAAAAUUUCUCACAGAGCAGGUCCGAGAGCAGCACAUUCAGUCAGUUUUUGUUUAUUAGAAUCUUUAUUUCUCCUUCACUUUUGAAGGAUACUUUAGCUGGAUAUAGAAUUCUAAGUUGUCUUUUCCCCAUUCAACACUUUAAAUAUUUCACUCAACUAUUCUUGCUUGCAUAGUUUCUGAUGAGAAGUCUGCUUACAAUUCUAUAAUUCUUCCUCUAGAGGUAAGGUUUUCCCCACCUCUGUCUUCUUUCAAAAUUUUCUCUUUAUCUUUGGUUUUCUGCAGUUUGCACAUGAUAUACCUAGAUGUAACUUUUUGGUGUUCUCUGAACCUCCUGGGCCUGUAGGUUGAUAAAUGUCAUUAAUUUUGGAAAGUUCUUGGCCAUUACUACCUCAAAUAUUGUCCCCCAUUCUCUUUUUUCUCCUUGCAUUUUAAUUGCAUGUACCUGACAUCUUCUGAAAUGUUCCCACACUUCAUGGGUAUUCUGUUUUGUUUCUAUUGUUCUUUUUUUUUCUCUUUGCAUUUCAGUUUGGGAAGUUUCUAUUGAUGUAUCUUCAGGCUCACUAAUUCUCUGCACAGCCAUGUCCAGUCUACAGAUGGGCGCAUCUAAGGCAGUCUUCAUUGUUGUUAGAAAUGUUAGCAUUUCCUUUUGAUUAUUUCUUAGAAUUUUUAUUUUUCUGGUUUCAUUAUCAAUCUGUUUUUGCAUGUUUUCUACUUUUUCCCAAUAGAGUCCUUAAUGUAUUAAUCAUAGUUAUUUGAAACUCCCUGUCUGAUAAUUUCAACAUCUGUGUCAUAUCUGAGUCUGGUUCUGAUGUUUGCUAUGUCUCUUCAGACUGUGUGGUUUUUCUUUCUUCCUUUUUGGUGUCCUUUUAAAUUUUUUGUUGAAACCAGUCAUGGUGUAUCAGGUAGCAGGAAUUGAGCUAAGUAGGCCAUUAGUGUGAGGAUUUAUGUUAAUUUUACUUAGAGUUGGUCUGUGUUUAAUGUUUGUUAUAUCUGUAGGUGCCAGAGAUUUCAAAUUUCUUUAGGUCUUUAUUUUUUCCCCACCCUUGACUUUGAACUUCUCCAAGCCUUCCUCAGAGAGAGUACUGUUUCUUGGAGCCCUUUCAGCUGUAAUUCACUGCUGUUAUGCUGGAGCCCUGUUGGUGAGGUGGUAAAUUGUGGGAAAAGGGGAGUGUUCUAUAUAGUCUUCAGAUUAAAUCUCAGUCUUCCAGGGGGUCCUGUGUCUGGCCUGUGACCUUCACAACUGUUUCUCCGACCUGUAGGUGAGACAGGAAAGCUAGAGGGGGCUGCAGUGAGAGAAUGCCCUUCCCCAAGCUGGGAUAAGGCUGGGCAGUCUUUCCCCUGGGGAAUGGGCCUUCGUUAUGGAGAAGGCUCUGGUGGUUUUUUGUUGUUGUUGUUGUUAUAAGAAUUACUCUUCCUCUCCUUGUUAGAGCCAGGAGAGGCUCUUUCUAGAAUCUUCUCAAUGAGAACUUGGGGAUUCCUGGAGGCAAAGCCCAUGAAAUUGUGGAGUCCCCCUAAGAUUGCAGCCCUGGGAGUUUCUCACUGAGAGCUGGUCUAUAUUCACCAGUUAGCAAUUUGUCAAAAUUGCCGUGUAACUGUUCUACUAGUUCUGGCUCCGGCAGCUUCUGCUCUGGGUAAGUGGAGCUUGGCUGUUACUCUCUAGGUUCAUCUGUCUCUCCAGACUUGGGGUGGUAAUUUACCUUGAAAACUCAGUUCUCUGAUGGGUCCAUGAAAAGUCAUUGAUUUUCAGUUUGUCCAGCUUUUUGUUGUUGUUGUUGUUGUAUGGACGGGAGUGACAACUUCCAAGCUGUUUACGUGACAGAACUGAAACUGGAAGUUUAUGUAUUUUUCAUAUCAUAGAAUGAUUUUUCUCUUUUGAUGUGUUCUCUCUCUCUGUUUUACAGACCACAAAGACAAAUUUUCAGGGAGGGAACAAACAUUAUUCAGCAGUGGAGUGUCUGAUCCUCUGUGGUGGGGCUGACAUUUAUUUCAUUUGUCCUAACACUUCUCUGCCAGAUAAACUGACGUCCCUAGCCAAUAGUAGAGACCAGUGAGGCUCAGCGAGGUUGGGUCAUCAGCUCAAAAUCCAAAAUCACACCACCCGUGAGUGACAAAUCUGGGAUUUAAACAUGGCUUUCUUGGCUCAAAUGUCACGGCCAUCCCAAUGAAUCUAAGCCACUAGCUGCUCUCACUAUUGUCUUUGGUUGAGAUGCCACUGAACGAAUAAAAAUGACCACCUUUCUAGGUGCUCCUCACGUCCAGCCUAGCAGGUCAUAUCUUGGGAUUUUUCAAUAUCAACUGUGAGACUGGGCCAAGGCUUCCAAAGACAUUGGUUUUAUUCCCGGGCGUGGAGAUCUGCAAACUUCUGUAAAGGAUAUACAAUUUCCUGGGCUCAUUCUCUUCGUGGUGACUCCAGGAUUGUGAGGACCACACAUCUCCUCAUCUUCGAGACAGUCUGUUUUCUCUGAAUGAUCAUCUUGGAGCCUACCUGGUUUGGUUAGAUGCGUGACAGCAUAAGAAGCAAAUUGCCGAGCCCCUGAACACCAUUGUGAGCAUUGGAAUCGUGUGUCUUAUUACUGUUAAAUGGCAAGUAAGCCACCAGUGCUGGAGAACGUGUAAUUUCACGUAUAAUUUAAGGGAAGCAUGCAUCCUGGCGCCUUAGUCUGGGUAACAGCUUCCUGCUUUUGUACAAGGCGCUUUGCACAUUAAAGUAAUUGCAGAAACUUAUGAGGACGACAGGAAAGUUUACUCUUCCUCUUUACGAAGAAAACAAAUGUGUUUUUCUGCAGACUCUGCCAAGGCUCGGUUUUAAUGAUCUCGCAGAUGGAGCCGGCACAUGUGAGCCCGUGGGUGCAGCUGUCUGCUUUCUCCAGCCUGAGGGGCGUGUGACUGCAACCAUAGCACCGUGUCGGCAGCACUUGUCUCUCCAGCACAGCGUCUCUCCUGCAGCACCACACUCCUAACCCACCAUGCCACUUAAAGGGAGGAGGCCCACUGACCGUGACGUCACCAACCUGACCGCUGAGGCCAUUGAGUUUGCAAUGGAUGGAGUUUUCUUAACUGUGACCCAAUCAACCUUGGAAGAAGGAAUCCCAGUCUUGGAUUGUCUCUCUGGAAACACUAACUCAUAAACUUCAGCUCCAUCUCAGUUCCUAGGAUCUAUUUUGCUUUCAAGGGGAGAAAGAGGUCAGGAAAGAGGCCGCUAGUUGGGCAAAAGUUUAGAAACCAUUUCCUGCUAGUGCUGUGGAGUCAAUCAAGACCACGGUCUCCUUCCGCCAGCAUCAUGACGUGCAGCCAGUCCUGGGAAGCCGGGGCAUUUCUGGAAGCUCAAACGGGAGCCGUUCACGUGUCAUUUUUCUUAGCAAUAAGGGUUCCGCUUCAUUUCAGGCUUGUCUUGAGAGGCAGAAGUUUCUAUUUAUCAGCCAACAAAGGCUGAAGCGUUGGUGCUUUGCAGCCGGGGACUGGGGUUUGGAUUGUGUUCUAGGCCCCACAGUAUGCACGCCUUUCACCCCAAAUCAAAAGCAAGAGGGAAAAAGGGAAGAUUGUGGUUGAAAAAAAAAAAAAACACAAACUGGAGAAACACUGAGAAAAUAUUGUCCUAGUUUGUUUCUAAAGGAUGUGCCUUUCUGGUAGUGCUCAAAAAGAGGCUGUAAGUUUUCCUGACUCCAAUUAACCCUCAGGGCACACUGACAGUCCAGGGAGGGCCCCAAGCACAGCUUUGACAUAGUACUAUUUCACAUAGGGAAGGGCAGAAUGUGUAGCAACAGGGGCUCUCAGCCAGUGGGGACAAAAGUGGUUUUGGGGUUGGGGCGUGGUGGCUCACGCCUGUAAUCCUAGCACUUUGGGAGGCCGAGGCAGGCAGAUCACAUGAGGUC